UUUUACUCAUAGUCUCCCUUGUCCUACUCUUCCAUUCACAAUAUCAAACAAGUCAAAAAAUCAUCAAUUUGGUUAGGGUUUUUUAUUAAAUUUGAGUGUAUUAAAGAAUGAAUCACCUCAAGAAUGACAAUAAUUCCAUUGCAACAAUAGAUGAUUUAGCAAAUCAGGAGCUCUAAUGUAGAUUGCAUAACAGUGUACAAGGAAAGCUAUAGCAGAUUGGAAGAAUGGUGAUAGCUAAGAACGGACGGUGGCGCUGGUUUACGAUUCCAAAUCUUGGAUCUACAGACUUCACAUCUCUUUCAACGCACAUCUCCGGGUUCCUUGCCAAGCUUGAUAAGGCCAAACGUGCUUUCUGCUUUGCUAGUGGAAUGGCUUCUCUCUCCAUUGUGACACAUCUAAUUGGAACCAGUACGUGUCGAUCUUCUUGAAUCCUCUAAUUUAAUUGCUACCAGACUCUCCUUGUAAUUUUCUUAACUUGCCAAUUUCAUGUGAGGCAGUUGUUGCUAGAGAAGACAUAUAGCAGUUCAGAUUGGUUGCUAUCAUAAAUACUUCCUAAUAAAGGAAUUGUGGUGAAGUGAAUAUAUUUUCCUACCUUCAUCUGCUCUUCCUAAUUCUGUAAGUUAUAACUAUAGUUGAUGUUGAGAAAACUUGUAAUUAUGUGUAGGCAAGUGAACACAAUUGAUCUAGAUGAGGUUGUAGCUUCAAUUGGUACAUAAACUAAGGGCCUGUUUGGUGUGUCUUUU
Nelumbo nucifera (sacred lotus) is the source of this 743-nucleotide long non-coding RNA. RefSeq lists it as uncharacterized. The record is from RefSeq and is a predicted model, not a curated record. NCBI's taxonomy places the organism in Eukaryota, Viridiplantae, Streptophyta, Magnoliopsida, Proteales, Nelumbonaceae.